GCGAACGGGUGAGUAACACGUGGGCAAUCUGCCCUGCACUCUGGGACAAGCCCUGGAAACGGGGUCUAAUACCGGAUACUGAUCCUCGCAGGCAUCUGCGAGGUUCGAAAGCUCCGGCGGUGCAGGAUGAGCCCGCGGCCUAUCAGCUAGUUGGUGAGGUAACGGCUCACCAAGGCGACGACGGGUAGCCGGCCUGAGAGGGCGACCGGCCACACUGGGACUGAGACACGGCCCAGACUCCUACGGGAGGCAGCAGUGGGGAAUAUUGCACAAUGGGCGAAAGCCUGAUGCAGCGACGCCGCGUGAGGGAUGACGGCCUUCGGGUUGUAAACCUCUUUCAGCAGGGAAGAAGCGAAAGUGACGGUACCUGCAGAAGAAGCGCCGGCUAACUACGUGCCAGCAGCCGCGGUAAUACGUAGGGCGCAAGCGUUGUCCGGAAUUAUUGGGCGUAAAGAGCUCGUAGGCGGCUUGUCACGUCGGUUGUGAAAGCCCGGGGCUUAACCCCGGGUCUGCAGUCGAUACGGGCAGGCUAGAGUUCGGUAGGGGAGAUCGGAAUUCCUGGUGUAGCGGUGAAAUGCGCAGAUAUCAGGAGGAACACCGGUGGCGAAGGCGGAUCUCUGGGCCGAUACUGACGCUGAGGAGCGAAAGCGUGGGGAGCGAACAGGAUUAGAUACCCUGGUAGUCCACGCCGUAAACGGUGGGCACUAGGUGUGGGCAACAUUCCACGUUGUCCGUGCCGCAGCUAACGCA
This 750-nucleotide ribosomal RNA is filed under the name Streptomyces rochei. Its description in RNAcentral is "bacterial SSU rRNA". It matches the Rfam family "Bacterial small subunit ribosomal RNA", at positions 98 to 859 of the family's 1533-position model. The record is from RNAcentral. Lineage: Bacteria; Bacillati; Actinomycetota; Actinomycetes; Kitasatosporales; Streptomycetaceae.